This is an unclassified non-coding RNA of Macaca fascicularis (crab-eating macaque), 148 nucleotides long. It matches the Rfam family "Metazoan signal recognition particle RNA". From Rfam's summary of the family: The signal recognition particle (SRP) is a universally conserved ribonucleoprotein. It is involved in the co-translational targeting of proteins to membranes. The eukaryotic SRP consists of a 300-nucleotide 7S RNA and six proteins: SRPs 72, 68, 54, 19, 14, and 9. The record is from Ensembl. NCBI's taxonomy places the organism in Eukaryota, Metazoa, Chordata, Mammalia, Primates, Cercopithecidae.
GCCGGGCGCAGUGGCGGGCGCCUGUAGUCCCAGCUACUCGGGAGGCUGAGGCAGGAGAAUGGCGUGAACCCAGGAGGCAGAGUUUGCAGUGAGCCGAGAUCACGCCACUGCACUCCAGCCUGGGUAACAGAGCCAGACUCUGUCUCAA